Long non-coding RNA from Ricinus communis (castor bean), 997 nucleotides. RefSeq lists it as uncharacterized. Lineage: Eukaryota; Viridiplantae; Streptophyta; Magnoliopsida; Malpighiales; Euphorbiaceae. The record is from RefSeq and is a predicted model, not a curated record. The transcript is spliced from 2 exons.
AGUGAAAAAGUUAAAAACAGUAAAGGUAAUUCCCAAAAAAAAAAAGAAUAAUUUUUGUAAAUAUUUUAAAAAAUUGGGUAAGUUCUAAAAAUACGAGGGAAGAAUAAUCGCUUUCUUUCAGCAAAAUCACUCUCAUUAGCCAUAAUUAUUUUCGUUGCAGCGAAAAUCAAAACAAAAGGAAAUACGUGCGCGCCGUCGUUUUACCCGGGCACAACGACGUCGUAUAAGUGUCAUAAACUUCCACCCUUAAACCCUAAUAAAGACCAGUGGAGGAACACAUUAAAAUAGCCUCUCUUCCGAGCCCGCCUCCAUGCGAAGAACUCCCGAUUGAGCUGAUGUUCAGAAACGAGACAGUAAGUUGGUUUCUUUCUAGCAGAAGAAAAUUUGUAGUGAUAAUAAAGCUUUUGCGGCAACAGUUGACAAAGUGAACAGACAAAAAUCAGUGUGGUCGUUCGCAAUCAAGAUCAUGAUGCACCGCUCUCAUUUCCCAUAUUUGAGCAUUCAGAAAUUUCUGGUUGGCUUAACGUUUGGGACUCUUGGAUUGGCCUUGGCGAUAAAAAAAAAAAAGGUAGAGUGAUUUGAUAGGCUGGUUUUGAACUUUUUGAUACAGUUGGGGCCAAUUAUAUGGCAAGGUGGAUAGCUAAUCUGCACCUGGAAUACACUCGCUGGAGUGGCUUUAAUUAUAGAUUAAAAGGGUUGACGAUUGCUUAAAAGAACUCUAGAUUUAGUCUAAGCAGCGUGUCCCUUUUCCAAUAUGAACAAUGAUUGAACACAGAAUAAUGCCGCCCCACUUGUAUAUCCUGAAUAUGCAUAAAAGUGGUUUAAUUAUGUCCUGUAAAUCUAAGGUUAUUCAGUGGCCACUACUUGCCCCUGUUAUUAUUCUUUAUCCCUGACCUCUAGACCAUUCUUUUCAUUUUUCUUUUGCCUGUAGUGUAAUUGCAAGAUAGUACUGCUCUUCAUUCUAUAAGAUUUAUAAGCUAAUUUGCUUGUGAUAAAA